GGAUCCAGACUUUGAUUAUGGCUCAGAGUGAACGCUGGCGGCGUGCUUAACACAUGCAAGUCGAACGAGAACGGGUUAUAGCUUGCUAUAACUGUCAGCUAAGUGGCGCACGGGUGAGUAAUGUAUAGUUAACCUGCCCUCGAGAAAGGAAUAACAGUUGGAAACGACUGCUAAUGCCCUAUAUGCCUUUAAGACAUAAGUCUGCAAGGGAAAUGCUUUAGUGCUCGAGGAUGGGACUGUAUGGUAUCAGCUAGUUGGUGAGGUAAUGGCUCACCAAGGCAAUGACGCCUAACUGGUUUGAGAGGAUGAUCAGUCACACUGGAACUGAGACACGGUCCAGACUCCUACGGGAGGCAGCAGUGGGGAAUAUUGCACAAUGGAGGAAACUCUGAUGCAGCAACGCCGCGUGGAGGAUGACACUUUUCGGAGCGUAAACUCCUUUUAUAUAGGAAGAUAAUGACGGUACUAUAUGAAUAAGCACCGGCUAACUCCGUGCCAGCAGCCGCGGUAAU
Molecule: ribosomal RNA, 512 nt
Filed under: uncultured bacterium
Lineage: Bacteria
Description: bacterial SSU rRNA
Rfam family: Bacterial small subunit ribosomal RNA
Source: RNAcentral